UACGUAGGGUGCGAGCGUUAAUCGGAAUUACUGGGCGUAAAGCGUGCGCAGGCGGCUUUGCAAGACAGAUGUGAAAUCCCCGGGCUCAACCUGGGAACUGCAUUUGUGACUGCAAGGCUAGAGUACGGCAGAGGGGGAUGGAAUUCCGCGUGUAGCAGUGAAAUGCGUAGAUAUGCGGAGGAACACCAAUGGCGAAGGCAAUCCCUGGGCCUGUACUGACGCUCAUGCACGAAAGCGUGGGGAGCAAACAGG
RNAcentral lists this ribosomal RNA (252 nucleotides) under uncultured bacterium. RNAcentral describes it as "partial 16S ribosomal RNA". It matches the Rfam family "Bacterial small subunit ribosomal RNA", at positions 524 to 776 of the family's 1533-position model. The record is from RNAcentral.